UAACGUUUCCCCUACGGCCGUUCGUUACACACCGCCCGUCCACAUCAUGAAAGCCGUUUGUACCCGAAGUCGCCCCUUAAAAGGUGCCGAAGGUAUGGAUGGUGAUUGGGAUG
RNAcentral lists this ribosomal RNA (113 nucleotides) under uncultured bacterium. RNAcentral's name for it is "partial 16S ribosomal RNA". The record is from RNAcentral.